UUGCGAAGCCCCCAAAAGCGAAUGAAAAUACCCUAGUUCUCAGAAAGCUACUAAACAAGAAGCUUUCAAACAUCCAUUCGCAUAUUAGCCUUCCCCGGGGAAAGCGGGCCCAGAGCUGAGCCCAACAGCCUCCGAGUAGCGGCUCAAAGGUUCUGCGGAUCAGAGCUAGCAGCGUCCCCAGUGCCGCCGGCUGCUCCCAGCGCUUGUCGGCUCCGACACACCUGCCCCAGCAGAGCGACAGCUGCCCCCGCAGCACUCCGCCCUGGCGGGGACCGCACCCACAGCCGCAGCGCCACCUUCAGCCUCACAAACAGCGGCAGAACACCAGCCACGGGGCUCCGAUCGCCGCCCGGGACCUCUGCUCGGCGCCAGACGACGAGGCUGGGCUCGGGGCCGGCGAAUCCCGACAGCCUUCCGCACCGAGGAGCCCUCCGGCCUCGCCCGCCCGGACGCAGGAGGGAGCCCAGGUAUUCCUUCUGGAAGAUCUGACAGAGCCAGCUGCUCAGGAUGUAACUGCUGUUGGAUGCCGGUGUUCUUUCUGCAGAGCUCCUGCUGACAGAUGGCCAGCUAGAGACAUCCUUUGAACCCUUGGAACUACAUCUGGAUGGAAAAACACCACAAUGCAAGGACUCUUUGCCCACUGCCCUCUCAUGUUUGGCACACAGACACUUAACACAGGACCCAAAGGAGGCAGAGAAGUCUGGAAUGGCAACUCUCCAACACUGCAGCUCUAACUGCCUGAGAAGUCCAUGAAUUACACAAAUAUUUAUCUUCAGAAGGAGGGCUGACAAAAAAAUUUUUCUGCAGGUCUGCAGAAGAGCCUGAGUGUGGAGAACUGCAGUGUCAGCAGGUAUGCACUGACAGCCACUGCCUUGUCUCUUUCCAACCUGAUUCUCCGGCCCAGCAGGAAGAGAAUGGUAGCCCUCAGCAUCCUUUGCUAGCAUGAAACAACAGUUACUAUUUGAUCUUGUCAAUAUAAACACUAAGAAGAUCUUGAUAAUCAGCCAGACCACCAAGACAGCUGUCUGGAGAAAAAGAAACCAACUCAACAGGCUAAUUUCUCUAUGGAUUUUGUUAUCAAGGUUCCCCCACUAAGACUGGUCAGCUUGACGCAGCACGUGGCUUGCAUCUGCCUUAUGUUCAACGUGGCAUCGUGGAACUUGUUGAAAAGCAAGAGCUGUUAACUUUGCCUUUUAAGGAGAAGAAAUUUCUAGUCACUUCUAUCUUCAGAAUACCUUUUUGUUCUUUAAGAAAAGAGGCUUUCCUCAUUGUUCAAGCAGAACAUGCUAUCCUGCCUCUUGCAGGUGCUACAGGUAUGUCUGAAGGGCUUCCUUUUUUUUUCCCACUCAUGCUUUUCAGAAAGUUAUUAUCACAUAUUAUUUUGUAGCUGUGAACCUCUGCAACAGAGUUAGUUUAUAGAGCCAGAACAAAUUAGGCAACAAGCCCUCCUUGUCAGUUACUGCUGUUUUCACUUCAGAAAUAAAUCCCAACAACUGCAAGCAGGGCAAGCCUACAAUUUUCAGAUUAUCUCAGUGUGGAGUAAAUUAGAAAUAGGUUUCCAGCCUGAGGCACAUUUUCCACAUGUACAACUUGACUUUAAAACAGUCUUGGUCUCUACUACUUACGACUGCAAUGAUACCAUUUCAGGCAACACAUGUCCGUCCUGCAGGGCUACCACGAGGCUGUUGAUAUUAUACUCUAGUUCUGUUUCUGAUCAUUCUUUCCAUGCUGGAGAAAUAAUGGUGAUAAUUUUACAAGGGCUUGUAGUGAUAGGAUGAGAGGGAAUGGGCUGAGGCUCGAAGAGGGGAUAUUUAGACUGGAGACUAGGAAGAAAUUCUUUAUAUUAAGAGUGGUGAGACACUGGAACAGGUUGCCUAGGGAGGCCAUGGAUGCCCUCCCUCUGGAAGUGUUGAAGGCAAAGACUGGAUGAGGCCUUGAGUGAUCUGACCUAGUGGAGGGUGACUUUUAAAGUCCCUUCCAACCUAAAGCAUUCAAUGAACUUGAAAUUCAAAAAGUUCAGGGCUUGAACUUGGUUAAGACAUCCACAUCUCUUCAACUCAAUUUUCAAUGGGAAAGGCCAAAAACUUUUUGUAAUCCAUCAUCUAUAUCUGAACCCAUCAAUUACAAGUUAAGAUUCUCAGAAGAUAAAUCCUUCCACUUACAAAAGAUAAAACACUGUUCAAAAUUAUAAUAAUAAAGUAUCCCAAAGAGGUACAAACUCAGGUUAAUGGAAAGGUGAUUGUCCAAGCUACUGGCAAAUAGAAGUACUGCAUAGUAAAUGAGGAGAGGCUGAGG
Molecule: long non-coding RNA, 2295 nt
Organism: Pogoniulus pusillus (Red-fronted tinkerbird)
Lineage: Eukaryota; Metazoa; Chordata; Aves; Piciformes; Lybiidae
Exons: 7
Source: RefSeq, a predicted model, not a curated record